This 466-nucleotide ribosomal RNA is filed under the name uncultured bacterium. RNAcentral describes it as "partial 16S ribosomal RNA". It matches the Rfam family "Bacterial small subunit ribosomal RNA", at positions 28 to 507 of the family's 1533-position model. The record is from RNAcentral.
GAUGAACGCUGGCGGCGUGCUUAACACAUGCAAGUCGAACGAUGAAGCCCAGCUUGCUGGGUGGAUUAGUGGCGAACGGGUGAGUAACACGUGAGUAACCUGCCCUUAACUCUGGGAUAAGCCUGGGAAACUGGGUCUAAUCCCGGAUAGAGCCUUCCACCGCAGGGGGGGGGUGGAAAGGUUUUAUCGGUUUUGGAUGGACUCGCGGCCUAUCAGCUUGUUGGUGAGGUAAUGGCUCACCAAGGCGACGACGGGUAGCCGGCCUGAGAGGGUGACCGGCCACACUGGGACUGAGACACGGCCCAGACUCCUACGGGAGGCAGCAGUGGGGAAUAUUGCACAAUGGGCGCAAGCCUGAUGCAGCGACGCCGCGUGAGGGAUGACGGCCUUCGGGUUGUAAACCUCUUUCAGUAGGGAAGAAGCGAAAGUGACGGUACCUGCAGAAGAAGCACCGGCUAACUACGUG